UAGAGAGUUUAGCAAUAGAUU
RNAcentral lists this non-coding RNA (21 nucleotides) under Caenorhabditis elegans. Lineage: Eukaryota; Metazoa; Nematoda; Chromadorea; Rhabditida; Rhabditidae. The record is from RNAcentral.